GGAUGUGAAGGCGAUCUGGCUGUGACAUCUGUCACUCCCCUGAUUGCCAGGGUUAAUUCCGCUGAUCUGGUUGGCUAGACAGGUGCCCCAUUUGUCCCUCACCACUCCACAUGUGUCCCUUCCAGGGCUGUGCACUUGGUUGAAGAGGAUGACCUUCCUAAAAUAGAGGGGGCUCAUCAUUGGUCAAGAGUAUAUGAGUAGCUGCACUCCCCUGCUAGAAAGUCCAAACAAGCUCUCAAAAUCCCAAUUUCCUUGCUGAAUUUUUCUUCCAUGGUGCUUUUUCAUCCAUAUUCUUUUUCAUCUAU
This 305-nucleotide small nuclear RNA is filed under the name Jaculus jaculus (lesser Egyptian jerboa). RNAcentral describes it as "7SK RNA (ENSJJAG00000005347.1)". It matches the Rfam family "7SK RNA". Rfam says of the family: 7SK was discovered as an abundant small nuclear RNA in the mid-70s but a possible function has only recently been suggested. Two independent studies have found that 7SK RNA binds the CDK9/cyclin T complex (known as elongation factor P-TEFb). P-TEFb activates transcription by phosphorylating the C-terminal domain of RNA polymerase II. Lineage: Eukaryota; Metazoa; Chordata; Mammalia; Rodentia; Dipodidae. The record is from Rfam by way of RNAcentral.